RNAcentral lists this transfer RNA (76 nucleotides) under Artemisia tangutica. RNAcentral's name for it is "tRNA-Glu". It matches the Rfam family "tRNA". Rfam says of the family: Transfer RNA (tRNA) molecules are approximately 80 nucleotides in length. Their secondary structure includes four short double-helical elements and three loops (D, anti-codon, and T loops). The record is from RNAcentral. Lineage: Eukaryota; Viridiplantae; Streptophyta; Magnoliopsida; Asterales; Asteraceae.
GCCCCUAUGGUCCAGUGGUUACGACCUCUCUCUUUCACUCACGGAGAAAACGAGGGUUCAAGUCCCUCUGGGGGUA